Marmota monax (woodchuck) is the source of this 806-nucleotide long non-coding RNA. RefSeq lists it as uncharacterized. The record is from RefSeq and is a predicted model, not a curated record. The transcript is spliced from 3 exons. NCBI's taxonomy places the organism in Eukaryota, Metazoa, Chordata, Mammalia, Rodentia, Sciuridae.
UCCGCGCAUUCCCGCCGGGCCUGGGUUCCGCCGCCACGUGGUGGCCCUGCGCUCCGCGCUUACCGUAAAGCCUGGAGACGGUGCGCACCUCGGUUCCCCAGCUUGAGAGGAGGACCGCCCCUGUACCCACCUGGCUGCGCCGUCCCGCCCCAGUGCAGAACCCGCGCAGGCUCCGGCGUGUAGUAGGGAUCGCUGGUUUAGGUAACUAGAAGAGCUGAACUGCCGUGAAGUCCAGCAGGAAGGAGGGUGGCCAGCGCCCCUCCCGCCCCCCGUGUGUGCAAUGGUGGGGGGCUGCCCAACUCUGAAACCCCACAGAACCGAACAGGGAACCAUCAUGCCUCGCCAGCAGCCUUAGAGGCUGGAAAGGAGUCGCAGCCUUCCGGAUGUCAGGAAGUUGGCGACCAUAUGUAGGAAACAGAACAAGAGUGUGACCCAGGCCCCCACCUGCCAGGGGCUGAGAGGCAAAGAAUUUUUCAGAUGACUUUGUGCUGAAUCAGCUGGCUUCUCCUCGGCCUCCGGAGCCGUUCACGACCGUGAGACUUAAACUACAGAGAAACUGAGGUUGAAAUAAGCCCCCCCAUAAACCGCCCUCGGGCUUCCUCCUCGACUCUCCCUCUGCUUGCCCUGCAAAAGGGGGACCGGAUUUGAUUUUUAAAAGACAGACAGACGGGCACCAAUGAGGGCCCAGAAGUCAGCGCAGGGGUGAGGGGCAGAGGUCUGAGGGAGCCUUCUGCUGGGCCAUUGGUGGGAUCUCUGCCCAGGGCAGUCACCCCAUUGCCCAGCCAUUCUGCUCAGGCAAAGGGGGA